RNAcentral lists this ribosomal RNA (477 nucleotides) under Candidatus Scalindua brodae. Its description in RNAcentral is "bacterial SSU rRNA". It matches the Rfam family "Bacterial small subunit ribosomal RNA", at positions 365 to 832 of the family's 1533-position model. The record is from RNAcentral. Lineage: Bacteria; Pseudomonadati; Planctomycetota; Candidatus Brocadiia; Candidatus Brocadiales; Candidatus Scalinduaceae. RNAcentral also lists the same sequence under 1 other name.
UUCGCAAUGCCCGAAAGGGUGACGAAGCGACGCCGCGUGGGUGAGGAAGGCCUUCGGGUUGUAAAGCCCUGUCAGGAGUUAAGAAAUACAGGUAUGCUAAUAUCAUACCUGUUUGACAAAGGCUCCAAAGGAAGCCACGGCUAACUCUGUGCCAGCAGCCGCGGUAAUACAGAGGUGGCAAGCGUUGUUCGGAAUUAUUGGGCGUAAAGAGCACGUAGGUGGUUUUGUAAGUCAGAUGUGAAAGCCUUCUGUUCAAAGGAAGAACGGCAUCUGAAACUGCUGAUCUUGAAUGUAGGAGGGGAGAGUGGAACUUCUGGUGGAGCGGUGAAAUGCGUAGAUAUCAGAAGGAACGUCGGCGGCGAAAGCGACUCUCUGGCCUAUUACUGACACUGAGUGUGCGAAAGUUAGGGGAGCAAACGGGAUUAGAUACCCCGGUAGUCCUAACCGUAAACGAUGGGCACUAAGUAGAGGGGUUUU